Molecule: ribosomal RNA, 518 nt
Filed under: uncultured Glomus
Lineage: Eukaryota; Fungi; Glomeromycota; Glomeromycetes; Glomerales; Glomeraceae
Description: SSU rRNA
Rfam family: Eukaryotic small subunit ribosomal RNA
Source: RNAcentral
AGCAGCCGCGGUAAUUCCAGCUCCAAUAGCGUAUAUUAAAGUUGUUGCAGUUAAAAAGCUCGUAGUUGAAUUUCGGGAUCAAUACGUCGGUCGUGCUUCGGUACGUACUGGCGUAAUUGAUUUCUCCCUUCUGACGAACCAUGAUGUCAUUAACUUGGUGUCAUGGGAAAUCAGGACUGUUACUCUGAAAAAAUUAGAGUGUUUAAAGCAAGCUAACGCUUGAAUACAUUAGCAUGGAAUAAUGAAAUAGGACGUUCGAUCCUACUUUGUUGGUUUCUAGGAUUGACGUAAUGAUUAAUAGGGAUAGUUGGGGGCAUUAGUAUUCAAUUGUCAGAGGUGAAAUUCUUGGAUUUAUUGAAGACUAACUACUGCGAAAGCAUUUGCCAAGGAUGUUUUCAUUAAUCAAGAACGAAAGUUAGGGGAUCGAAGACGAUCAGAUACCGUCGUAGUCUUAACCAUAAACUAUGCCGACUAGGGAUCGGAUGAUGUUAAUUUUUAAUGACUCAUUCGCGCCUUAC